GCCCGUGGGACCCGCACGUCAGCGACCCCACGCCCGGCCCCGCCACUGUCCACGUGGAUAAGUGGAAGCGUACUUCGCAGAAGUACGUUUUCGCCUUCAGAAAGCGUAUUUCUCUUCUGCUCCAGUCGUAAGUGCGCUUUCAUAGUUUGAAAACUAUUUUCUUCUUAGGCGCCUUCUGUUUUCUCACUCAGGGGCCUGUUUGUAGAGAUUCUUUUACAAAUCGGUCCCUGAACUUCGUCGGGCUAUAUCUUUUUACUCCCAACUCCAAAUGAGGUGAUUCCAAAGCCCAUUUCUUUGUCUCGUCGAGCCCGUUCUGUUGGUUUCAUUUUCACUAUGGUUUGACACUGUGAAAAUGACCAUUUUUUCCCUUGCCCGUAAACAGCCCCUCCGAGAGAGAACUGUUUCCGGCAAAUCUUUCCGCGAGCUUCUCGCGCUUCUUCCCUGUGUUUUCUUCAUCCCCAGGCAAGCCACAAUACCCACUUGCAUGAUAGUCAUGCAGUAGCCAUGGUUUUCAACUUGAAUAUUUAUUAAAUGAUUGGUUGUUUAAAAUAUGGUUAUCGUUGUUUUGGUAAUGCUUCUGGGUUAGUGCUUACUUGCUUGAUAUGUUGUUAUGCACCUGGUUAUCAUGCCCUGCUAGUUGCUAGUAUUACUUUCAUAUUUCCAUGCUUGAUAGUAGUACAUGUUGGGUUGGUCAUGUUCUUCGGUGCAUGAUUAACGUCGGUUAUCGAGUACUGUUAAUAUGCGUUCUUCCUUUGCUGUUAGUUGGUUAAGUGUUACUCGGUAAUGUUAUUGAUGAGUUCUUGCAUGGUAUUUAUGGUUGAUGCUAGUGGUCAUGUUUUACUAUGAGUAGUGUUGCACUUGUAAUAGUUAUGCUCGUCAUUAUGCCAUGUUCAGUUGGAGAUUAUUCAUAGUUGAUAUGGUGGAUCGUUAUGUUGUACCCUCAUGCUUAUGUUGAUCUCAUGCUCAUGCUUUGUAUAUGCAUCAUGUUAUUUUAUCAUGGCUCAGCAUAUUGCAUUCAAGUUUAACCAGAUUAAAUUCAACUUGAACAACUGUUGGCUGAGUCAUGGUGCCACCAUAUCGAAACUGACCAGUGCAACCACGCUUACCUUAUGGGAAGGUCCUAACUGGGUCUAUUGUCGUGCCUCUCGCCGGUGCCUCUAACGAGGGAAGGUUAUGGGCGCGCGCUACCCUGAUCAGGUAGGCGGACAUAACCUUGUGUGCCCGUUGUUGUUAUUAUGGAUCCGGUCCCCGUGAGGGACGUUUUGGCCACGACAGUGGUCGUUGUGUCUUUGGUAGAUACGGGGCCACCCAGGACUAGCCCAGUUGGGAGUGGGUCGGAGUGGCCGGGAGAGUGUCAUGGCAAUAGAUCGGUUUUGUCGGAACGCCGUUGGUCCACCCGAAUGGGAGUGCGAGGCCAGGGGUUCCGUGGUGUGGGUACAGUGUACUAACCUCUGCAGAGUGUAUAUUAAAUCUAUCGAUAGCCGCGCCCGCGGAUAAGGGCCCAGUUCGUGUCGGUCACACCGUGAGUCAACAGUAUUAAUAAUAACUUGAUUAAUGACAACCCCGGUUUGAUGAUGAGAUAACUUGGUUGUGAUCGCCGGAAAGAUCACCGUUUGAUACCAAGUGUUGGUCAUGGUUGUGAUCGCCGAAAUGAUCACCGUGGUAUCGAGGAUACCGAGUUGUUGGAUAUUCGUGAUGUUGUGCGAGAAUCAUGGGUAAAGAUCAAGCUCCUUGUGGUCAUUUAAUGAUUACUACGGUAUUGUUUAUACCAAGCUUGAUUUGAUCCUGAGAUGAUCGUGUGAUGUCCGAGGUUGGUAAGUGAUGCAUGUGAUGGUUACGUAGUAACCCGAGCAGAAUAAAUAGUGCAUAUAAUGUCUUCAUGUUGCAUGCUAGUAUUGUCGAAUUCAUAUGUUCAUGCUAUGCUCAUGUUGUUCUAGCUGUAUCAUGUUCAUGUUGCGCAAGUCAUGUUGUUAUGAGGAUCUCAUGUUAAUUCCUGCUUAACAUGUAAAUGCCAUGCUGAUGUUUGUCUUGAAUGCUUCUGGUUGAUGUGAGCUUGCAAGUACAUUCAAUGUACUGACCUGGCGUGUCAUGCCAGCUUGCAGGUCGUGCCUAGAUUGCUUGCUUGUUUGGUGUUGUUCCUGUGUUCACGAGCUAGGAUAAGCUUUCCAGUCAGAGUCCCUGUGGAGUGGAGUUCACCACCGUCGUCGUUGUUCCGCUGCCAGUAGUUGUUCCGCUGCCUCAAGUUGCUAUGCUGCUUGCAUAGAGCAACUGAGGAUGGCGUAGUGUCGCCGUGCCGAUGUUAUUCAUUGUAAUAUCGGAGACCUUGUAUUCAUAUCCGUGUAUUAAUAGAAAUCUGGUUUGUUCUAUGCUAAGCAGUGCCGUAUUCCAGAAGACUUCACCUCGAUCUCUAGGCUGGAAUACGGGGCGUUGCGGUUUU
RNAcentral lists this long non-coding RNA (2437 nucleotides) under Triticum aestivum (bread wheat). RNAcentral describes it as "long non-coding RNA (TAES_LNC019855)". Lineage: Eukaryota; Viridiplantae; Streptophyta; Magnoliopsida; Poales; Poaceae. The record is from RNAcentral.